AGUCUUCAUUCAAUUCUUCAGCUGACUUCAUCACAAAGUGUUUUAUAAAUUUAUUAAUUAUUUUUAAAUAUUAUUAAUAUUAAAUUAAUAAUAAUUAUUGACUUGUUAUUUUACUAAAAAAAGAAACAAUAAUGCAGUUUUUCUGGGCAUUAUUUACGCUUUUUAUUGUAAUAAUUUUUGCUGUCCAAGGAAAUGGAUACCAUUAUAAACAAAGAGGAAGCUGGGGACAUGGUGGUGGAGGUAGAUACGGAGGUGGACAUGGCGGCUAUGGACAAGGUCAUGGAUAUGGUCAUCACGGUGGUCAUGGACAUGGUGGUCGGGGAUAUGGAUAUUAUGGAUAAUGUUGAUAACCACAUAUUUCUCAAGAAAUCAUUUAAAUUAAUACAACAAUUUGCGGUCAUGCUUUCUGUUUAAAAAUCAUCAAUUAAUUAAAAAAAUAAAAAAAAACAAAAAAAAAUUAACUGUAAUGUAUAUUUUAAUGUAUAAAAUUAAGAAAAAAUUUAUAUAUGUGUAAAAAAAAUAUUUCUUUAAUUGUAAUUGAUAAUAAUAUAUUGUAAAAAAUAAAAAAAAAUUUAAUAAAAUAAUAAAUUUAAAAAAAAAUGAUGA
Molecule: long non-coding RNA, 606 nt
Organism: Aphidius gifuensis
Lineage: Eukaryota; Metazoa; Arthropoda; Insecta; Hymenoptera; Braconidae
Exons: 3
Source: RefSeq, a predicted model, not a curated record